GGGGGCGGGGCCGGAGAGCGGGCCGCGCCGGGUAAACACCGGGUGGGAGGUGCGGGCGGGGACCGUGAGCCCUUUACCGGGCGGUGCGGCCUGGCCCGGCCUGAGCGGCCUUCCGCCGCCUGCAGACCCGGAGGGGCCGCAGUGCCCGGCCCUGCGAUCCCGGUGUGGCCGCGCGGAGCCCAAAGCCACGCGGGCCCGAGGCGAGGAGACCUCUGCUGGCCCGGGGACCCGCAAAGACACCCCGCUCUGCCCCAGCCACCCAGUGACGGUGUCCACUUGAAGCUUCCUUCUACCUCCAAAGUCCAGUGCCUAAGGAAAGUAACUGAGAAGGUCUGCAAUUCAGAAAGCACUCAUUCGUUAACCACUUGUCGAUUCUCCUGCGAUGGUGCCGGGAUGAGAUUUGAGUAAUACAGACCAGAAAGAAUAAUAAAGGCCAGCACGUCAUUCAAGAAGCACUCUGGGUUUCGCUGUUCAUACCUGAAGAUGCAGCAGUGUCAGCUGAACUCCCAGUUGUUCUUUAAAGAGUGCAAAAAGUGCACCGGGAUCUUGGCGAGACUUUAAUAACAACCGCCCUCGUCCUCCACGUACAGAGUGUGCCUUUGUUCAGUCUACAGUGUUGCUGCUGCGUGUCUCUGAAACUAUUUUCCAUAGAUUCGCCUUGUAAUCUUUCUAAAACCAAAACAAGGACAGACUGCAGAAAGGAAACCAUGCCCUGAUGUGCCUAUGAGCUUAUCUUCCGGAUCGAACUCAGACCUUGCCCUUGUGAGACAGGUGCGGUGCCACUGAGCUAAAUCACCUGCAGUAUUUCAUUGUUUAAAUCUAUUAGCCCUGUGUGGUGGUGCACACCUGUAACCCCAGAACUCGAGAGGCUGAGGCAGGAGGGUCACCUCCAGUUUGAGGCCAGCCUGGGCUACAUAAUGAGUUCAAGGACAGCCGAGACAACAUACCAAGACCCUAUCCCAAUAGUAAAUAAAUAAUAAAUAAGUAAAAUCCAUGAUUGCUGCUGUCAGGAUGGAUGAAAGUUUAAAUGAAAUGAUGUAUCUUAGCACGCUCUCCUCGGGGCAUAGCCUCCUCUUUGUAGUGUGUCCUUGAUUUGGCUUCAGGAAAAGAUCACAAGGGGAAUGGAUGGGAAAUAUCUGAGAAGCAGCAGCUAAGAUAGCGCCAGGAGCAAACCUGGCAACUGGUACAGCAG
This 1192-nucleotide long non-coding RNA is filed under the name Heterocephalus glaber (naked mole-rat). Its description in RNAcentral is "lncRNA (ENSHGLG00000046419.1)". The record is from RNAcentral. Lineage: Eukaryota; Metazoa; Chordata; Mammalia; Rodentia; Bathyergidae.